AAAUUAUUACUGACGGUCAUGCCGGAAGGCGGGGGGGAUUAAACCAGAAUAGAUCCCCCGUAGUUCCCCGCAGUAAACAAGGAUUACUAGUUGUUUGCGAUACCCUUUAAGCGAGUGCGCGAAAAGCAUUAAAUAAUCCACCUGGGGAGGACGUUUGCAAGAAUGAAACUCAAAAGAAUUAACGGGGGCCCGCACCAGCGGAGGAACAUGUGGUUUAAUUCGAUGAUACGCGAGGAACCUUACCUGGGCUUGAAAUGCAUUUGAUUGGCACAGAGACGUGCCUUCUCUUCGGAGCAGAUGUGUAGGUGCUGCAUGGUUGUCGUCAGCUCGUGCCGUGAGGUGUCGGCUUAAGUGCCAUAACGAGCGCAACCCUUAUCAUUAGUUGCUAACAGGUCAAGCUGAGGACUCUAAUGAGACUGCCAUCGUAAGAUGUGAGGAAGGUGGGGAUGACGUCAAAUCAGCACGGCCCUUAUGUCCGGGGCGACACACGUGUUACAAUGGGUGGUACAAAGGGCAGCUACCAGGCGACUGGAUGCUAAUCUCUAAAACCACUCUCAGUUCGGAUCGGAGUCUGCAACUCGACUUCGUGAAGCUGGAUUCGCUAGUAAUCGCGCAUCAGCCACGGCGCGGUGAAUACGUUCCCGGGCCUUGCACACACCGCCCGUCAAG
Molecule: ribosomal RNA, 669 nt
Filed under: uncultured bacterium
Lineage: Bacteria
Description: bacterial SSU rRNA
Rfam family: Bacterial small subunit ribosomal RNA
Source: RNAcentral